CCUACGGGAGGCAGCAGUGAGGAAUAUUGGUCAAUGGGCGCGAGCCUGAACCAGCCAAGUAGCGUGAAGGAUGACUGCCCUACGGGUUGUAACCUUCUUUUAUAAAGGAAUCAAGUGAGGCACGUGUGCCUUUUUGUAUGUACUUUAUGAAUAAGGAUCGGCUAACUCCGUGCCAGCAGCCGCGGUAAUACGGAGGAUCCGAUCGUUAUCCGGAUUUAUUGGGUUUAAAGGGAACGUAGUUGGGUAGUUAAGUCAGUUGUGAAAGUUUGGGGCUCAACCGUAAAAUUGCAAUUGAUACUGGCAGCCUUGAGUACAGUUGAGGUAGGCGGAAUUCGUGGUGUAGCGGUGAAAUGCUUAGAUAUAACGAAGAACUCCGAUUGCGAAGGCAGCCUACUGAACUGCCACUGACAUUGAUGCUCGAAAGUGUGGGUAUCAAACAGGAUUAGAUACCCUUGUAGUC
RNAcentral lists this ribosomal RNA (460 nucleotides) under uncultured bacterium. RNAcentral's name for it is "partial 16S ribosomal RNA". It matches the Rfam family "Bacterial small subunit ribosomal RNA", at positions 338 to 795 of the family's 1533-position model. The record is from RNAcentral.